GCCACCCAGCAUGGAAUCCUUGUUGCUAGGCAACCACCCUGGAGAAGGGAAAGAAACCCACUGGGCCUGGAAGUAUGGGAUAGCAGGGUGGGUGGGGUGGUUGGCAUUUUUUUGUUUUGGUUUCUUAAGGAAAAAGUCAGUUGUAGAAGAAAAGAAAUGUGGUCCUGAAACAAAUGGAAACUAAAAGGGAACAAUCUGACUUCAGUAGCUCAGAGGAAGGUCAAAGAGUCUUUUUAUUUACUUUCUACUCCUUCAGGCCCAAGAUUCUUGUGCCUCCCCAAGAGAACGUACUGACCUCCCUGUCCUCAUCCCAAGGGGCACAGAAAACCAAAGACAAACACUUGCUCUUAACUGGGAAUGCAGCACUCUAUGUUGAAGCAUUACUCUGCUAGAGAACUAAGACACAGAAGAACCUGGGGUGGAAUGCCUAGAGUAUAUGUUUCCACCAUGCCCAGGCCUGUCUGAAGCCAAAAAGGUCCAGCAGCUAACCAGGGCCUGUUCUGUCCCUCAAGAAGUCACCUGCUGGAAUAUGAAUUGCUGAGUGUUGGAGGAGGCUGAGAUAGCAUUGAAGUCCAACAUCCAGUGAAACUGUAGAGAGGAAGGAGUCAGAAAGUGAGCAUCAGGGGAAUAUAAGGAAAGAGACAAAGGAUCUUAGGAGAAAGAAAAUUCAGUUAAAUAUUUUGAACAUAAGCAGAUAAACUGAUAAAGAUACUAAAAAUAGAAAGGAAUAUAGCCUCCAGAACAUCCAGAAUAUGAACACAUAAUACAAAACAAAGGAAUAUGAAUCAUUGCCUAGGGAAGCAGAGAACUCUGGAUUCCUAAGGGAGAAUGGAACCACAGCAGGAUAUUAAUGAAUGGUUUAAAAGAAAAAUAAUUGGGAAAGCAUGCACAGCAGAAAUAAUUGACAUAAUAGAUAAAUUUGAAUGCACUGUGCAAAGUCUUACCAAAGAAACAAAAGAAUAAGUUGAUUGGGAAUAUAAAUAUAAAGAAAUGAAGGACAAUCUGGAGGAAGAGAAGAAAAAAAUAAGUUUAAAAGAAAACAUGAUCUUCAUAUAAGCAAAAUAAAAUGUUCUAGAAAAUAGGAUGUGGUGUUAUAAUUUAAGGAUUAUAGGUCUCCCAAAAGAACAAGAUAAGUAAAAAAACCUGAACUUGAUAAUGCAAGAAAUAAUACAAGAAAAUAUCCCUGAAGUUUUGAACAUAGAAAAGUGUGCCAACUGAAAAAACUCAAAUUACUUCCAGAAAACGAGCAAAAGCCCUAAACAUUGUGGUUAAAUUGAACUAUUCUACUGAUAAAUUCUGCAAGCAACCAGGGGAAGGCCUUCCAAUAUAAAGGAAAGGAAAUUUAAACACACCACUACUCCAUAGCCUUCUUCCCUUUAUUGCCUCCCCCAAAACCACAGGAGGGAAUGGAAUGAUAUAUUUGAAGAGUAAAGGCUUCAAGAGAUAACCCAGAGUGAAAUGCCUUGUAAACCUGAACCUAAAGCACUAAGAAAUAAAAAAGAUGCUCAAUAAAAAUAAAAGAGGCAUUCUAAGCAUUACUAGAAAGAAAACUAGACAUGAGCAAAUUAUUCACUUUGCUAACAUCCCAGAAGACAGUAACAUAGGAAAGGUAAACAAAUAUUAUAAACAACAACCAGCACAAAAUAAGAGAUUCAGAUUUCUUUCUAAAAAUAUGAAAGGAGGAGCUGAUAGGUGACUCAGGUGGAGUGAGAGCAAGAGCUAGAGAUGGGAGUCCUGAGUUAAAAUUUGACCUCAGAUACUUCUUAGCUGUGUAACCCUGGGCAAGUCACUUAACUCCAGUUGCCUAGCUCUUCAGCCUUGAUACCAGUACUUAGUAUUGUUUCCAAGACAGAAAGUUAGGGUUUAGGAAAAAGAAAAAAAUAUGAAAGGAAGCAAAUUUGAAAUUAGAAGUCAAAUAGAAAUGAUGGGGAAACGGGCCCUCAAAAUCACUCCACCUUUCCAACCAAUAGAUCAAUCCUUCUGUGGGACUGAAUUAUAGAAUAGGAGGGCACAUAAUAGGGGAGAGAAAAGGAAGAAGAUAGAGGGGAAUAUGUGUUGUAUUCUAAUUAUGUCAACAGUUAAUAAUGAAGGGAAAAUAACCCUAUAGUCUCUGAGGAAGACGACAGCAUACAGGAGAAUGGGUGAGGAAACACCGAAUAGCAGGGAAAGAGUUGUUGCUGUUUUUCAGUAGUAGGAGGCAAUACCACUGACAAAUGCUCCCAAUGGGGAAGAGAGCUAUUCUAUAAAGGGAAAUGAAGACCUUAUAGUGGGUAUAAUCUGCAGGGAUUUGGUGUUGAGAGAGAUUACUCAUCCUGCUGCAGGAGAGGGAGAAUCAGGCCUCCUGGGCGAACAGAUGAAUCAGAGGGCACAGAGAGGAGAUUUCCUGACAAAUGAAGCGAAAUGGCUAUGGGAAGGGCAAAGUUAAUAAUAAAUAAUAAAGUUAAUUAUAAAAGUUAAUGAUGAACUGAUCAUUCAGGGAUGUGGGAAAAAAAUCCCACCUGCCAGGGAAUGAUAUUCUAUCACCAGGAGUAUAUGGCAUGAGGGCUUGCUAAGCUCCUUUCAGGGCUGUUUCUCUACCUUUGGUGUCCACCUUUCACCCAACCCUCAAUUGUGGCUCCAAGAAGCUGUAGUGUACACAGUGGUGACAUUUCAGCACAACUAUCACAGCAGACAGACUAAAACAAAUUGAAGGUGACCAACAAGCCUCAGAUCUGUCAGUGAGUUAGGGGAAUGUCUUCUCCAAGCAUGUGAAGACUUCAGAGGAAUGGGAAGAUGGGCACAUUGUUCCAACAGCCAUGAAGGCCUGGGCCAUCACUGGUCAUCCUGGACUUCAAUGACUCUUUAAGAGUGAGGCUGAUAACUUUAACUCUGCUUCACUCAAAUCCAAUCCAUAAAUAAAUCAAGACAUCACCCCAUAGUGCCCUUGAUCCUCUUUGAAAAUGAAGGACAAACAGCAACAUUCUAUUACCUGUAAGAAUUGGUAUUUCUAAGAGUGGGGCAUGGCAGGUAAAGGGGGUAAGGGAUCAAGCUCUAGACAGCAAUAACAUAGAAAAGGUUUAAAAGAGGUAACCUAAAAUAGGUUCCUUAGAAACUUUAAUUCCAUGGAAAAUAAAGAAACUAAAAACCAGAGACUAAAGAAGGACUAAGUAUAAGGGCAAUGAACCAAAGAAUUAAAGUCUGGAAUAGAAAGAAAAAGAAGAUAAGUAAUUAACUGUACAAGGGAAUAGGAAAUCCUUUUUAGGAAAAAAAGGCAAUGAAAAUGAAAUUUUAAAAUCUAACAAAACAAGUUGAAAGGGAAUAGAGGAAGAGGGGAUUUACUUGAGCACUUAAUUAACCAAGAGGGAAAAAAACGGAGUAGCUUUAAAUAACUGGAUAAAAUGAAAAAAAGAAAGAAAAGGGAAAUAAUAAAAAAUAGGGAAAGAGUAACAAACUGGAGGUGGGGAGGGGUAUUGUAGGUAAAGGGUAGAGAGUUGGUGGGAAUAGAGUUGUCUUAAAGUACACUAAGCAAAAAUAACUGAAGUGAUUUUGUGCUGUGUUUAUAUAGGAAAAGGAGAGAAAUUCUAAUUUGAAAAAAAGUAUUGGAAGCAAAUGGAGUAAAACAAAAAUCUCAUAACUUUAUGUGAAUAGAUUAAACAAACUAAUAAAAUGAAACAGAAUGACAAAUGGAAUAAGGAAGCAAAAUUCCAUAAUCAAUUGCUUAGGAGAAAUAUACCUAAGAAACAAAGUCAUAUAUAGAAUUAAAAAUGUUAGUCUGGAACAAAUUUUACUACACCUCAGGUGAAUCUUAAAAAAAAAAAAUCAACCCCCCAGACUAACAACAUAAAAUGAAAUAAACUCCAUAAACUAAAAGUAAUCAUAGAUCGCAAACUAAUAUCAACAUAAACUUGUAUCUUCUAAAUCCUGAGCAUUUAAAUUCAUAAAGGAAAGAUUAACUGAAUCACAAGAAGAUAUAGGUAGUAAGACAACAGUGCUAUGAAAUUUCAGUGUUAUUUUUUUUCAGUUUUUUACAAAUCAAACAAAGAUAACAAAAAGGAAAAUACAGAAUUGAAAAAAAUUUCCAGAGAAACUUGAGCUAAAUGAUUUAUGGCAUCUUCUAAAUGGGUCUACUAAAUGUGUAUUUUUCAGCACUGCAUGAAACUUUUACAAAAACUGAUCAUGUGUUAGAUAGAACACAGUGAUAUUAUAAACAAAUAUAAAAAAGCUGAAAUAAUAAACAUAUCCAUUUCAGAUUAUAACAUAAUAAAAAGAGUGCAAAAUUAGUUCAUGGACACAGACCCAAAUGGAGACUUAAUAAUAAUGAAAUCUUAAACAAUGAAUGGUCAAAGAACAAAUCGUAGACAUGAUAAUUGUGUGGAAAAAAUGAUAAUGAUGAAACAACAUACCAAAAUUUCUAGGGUGCAACUAAAGCAGAAUAAAAAUCACAUCCCAAGGGGGCAGCUGGGUAGCUCAGUGUGUUGAGAGCUAGGCCUAGAGACGGGAGGUCCUAGGUUCAAAUCUGACCUCAGACACUUCCCAGUUGUGUGACCCUGGGCAAGUCACUUGACCCCCAUUGCCUAGCCCUUACCACUCUUCUGCCUUGGAGCCAAUACACAGUAUUGACUCCAAGACAGAAGGUAAGGGUUUAAAAAAAAAAAUCACAUCCCUAACAAAAUACAGUAACAAAAUGGAAAAAUUGAGAGUAUUUAUGAACUGAAUACACAUUUUAAAAAGUUAGCCAACAAACAUAACCAAAGGAACCACAAAGGGAGGAUGAUAUUAAAAAUUAGAGAAGGAGAAAAACUGGAAAUCCAAGAAAAACUCUAGAAAUGUUAAAUAAAAUUCAAAUUUUAUUUUUUCAGCCUUUAGCCAAUCUCAUUAAAAAGAAUAGAACAGUGUCAUCCAGGUGGCUCAGUGGACUGAGAGCCAGGCCUAGAGACUGGAGGUUCUCAGUUUAAAUCUGGCUUCAGUCAUUUCCUAGCUGUAUAAUCCUGGGCAAGUCACUUAACCAGCAUUGCCUAGCCCUUACCACUUUUCUGCCUUGGAACCAAUACACAGUAUUGAUUCUAAGAAAAGCUCAGGAUUUAAAAAAAAAUAUUAGAGCAAAAAUCAAGUCAAUAAAAUAGCAAAUAAACAAGAUAAAGUCACAAUAAAACCAGAAGAAGUAAAAAAAUAUAAUCAGGAUCUACUAUGGACAGCAAAAUGCUAACAAAGAAUGUGGAAGAAACUGGGGAUACCUUCAAAAACAUGAAAUUCUCAAACUACCAUAAAACUAAAUAGAAAUCUUAAUCCAAAUUCAGGGAGGUAAGAUAGAACUGGAUAUUAAAGAAACAACAAAGGGGGGGGGGGUACUUUUCCUGAUAGAUUCGUAGGAGAAUUCUCUCAAAAUUUUAAAGAAUAAUUAGUAAAUACAAUCUUAAUGCCCCCAGAAAGAAUAAAACACAGAACUAUGUACUGAUACCAUUUUUACAUUAAAAUUAUUUUUAUUGUCAUGCAAAAUACACUUCCAUAUUGGUAGUUAUUGUAAGAGCAUAUUCAUAUAUAGCCAAAACCCCCAAAUAAAACCAUAAAUACACUUGAUGUGAAAGAUGACUCCAACAAUUCUUUCUCUGGAGGGUGGAUAGCAUUCCCCAACAUAAGUCGAUCAGGAUUGUCUCAGAUCAUUGCUGAGAGUAGCCAAGUUUUCAAAGUUGAUCAUCAUACAAUAUUGUUGUUAUAAUGUUCUCCUGGUUCUACUUCUUUCACUCUGCAUCUGUUCAUGCAGAUCUUUCCAGCUUUUACUGAAAUCAUCUUGCUUCUCAUUUCUUAUAGCACAAUAGUAUUCCAUCACCAACAUGUACCACAAUUUGUCCAGCCAUUCUCCAAUUAAUUGGACAUCCCUUCAGUUUCCAAUUCUUUGCCACUAUAAAAAGAACUAUAAAUAUUUUUAUAUAAGUAGGUCCUUUCCCCCUUUUUAUUAUCUCUUUGGGAUACAGACCCAGUAAUGGUAUUACAGGAUCAAAAGAUAUGCAGAGUUUUAUAGUCUUUUGGGCAUAAUUUCAAAUUGUCCUCCAGAAUAAUUAGAUGUGUUCACAACUCCACCAAAAAUGCAUUAGUGUCCCAAUUUUGCCACAUCCCCUCCAACAUUUAUCACUUUCCUCUACUGCCAUAUUGGUCAGUCUGAUAGGUGUAGGUGUAUACUGAUAUCAUUAAUGAGAAUUAAUAAUUUUAAAAUAAAUCCUGUUAGAUGACAGCAAUUCCUCCAAGAAAUUGUUCAUAAACAGAUUGGAUUUAUACAAGGGAUGUAAAGAUGACUCAAUACAAGGAAAGCAAUCAAAAUAUAUUAAAAAUAAAAGCAACUCAAACUGCAUAGUUAUCUCAAUAGAUGAGGGAAAAGUCUUUGACAAAGGACAACAUAUUCAUAUGUUGAAUAAAAUGUAUUGACAUAAGCGGACCUUUUAUACAGUCACAAAAUGUAUUUAAGACCAAAAGAAAGCAUCACUGGAGCCUUUCCCAGUAAAUUCUGGAGUAAAGCAAAAAUAUCUGCUUUCUCCUCUGUUGUUUUGAUAGAGUUCUUAAAAUGCUAACAAAACAAGAAAAAAAUUUAAGGUAUGAUACAUAAUGAGAAGAUAAAAAUUAUCCCAUUUGCUGAAGAUAUAUUGGUCUAUUUAAGUAUUCUUUGAGAAUCAGCAAAGAUCCCAAUCAAGACAAUAUCUUCAGCUAAACAGCAGACUCAAAAAUCAACAGUUUCUCUAUAACAAUAAUACCUUUAAAUAAUAAUACCUUUAUAAUAACAUGUAAUAAGAUCUAAGAGGCAAUAAUAGAAAGGAAAAUCCUAGUCCAAUAUUAUAAGGAAUUUAGUGAAUGUUCAUUCUGUCUCAUUAGGAGCAGAAGUUUUAUUAAUAUAAUGCUGUGUUUAAGAAACGGCAAACAUCUUGCUUCUGGCUCUUUAAGUGGCUUAUGAUAAAAGAGAGAAUUUCAGUUGGUUCUGGGCUCCAUCUUCUCUGGGCUCUCUGUCAAGAAGUCUCUAACAGUUUGACUGGUGGCAGUUGGAGUUUGAGAACAGAUUUAAGGAAGUUGAAGAAGAAAAGACUUACUUUUAGUUAAGAGUCUAGUUACUGAGGGGUUUCCCUUCUCAGUACUCUAAAGGAGAUAGGUCUGACUUUGAGGCCUAUUCUUCACAGCUCUUUGAGGGGAGCUGCAGAACUGUCUGUGUGUGUGACAGACUGCUUUCAGCUGACCAUUACUAUAGGAAUUAAUUUAAGGAGUUUAUUAUAAAUUUAAGAUUCUUCAUUUAGCAUCGGGUACUAAGACAGAAUUUAAUCUUAGUUUAGAGAGAGUAGUUAAGUGUAGGUCUGCUCUGCAGACAAGAAGAAGCUGCAAAGAAAGCAGCCAGUUUUUUUUAAUUUAGAGAUUUUAGUGUAAGCUUAAGAGAUUUCCUAUCCUAUUCCUAACUUCUAGUUCUAUCCUUCUAUGUCCUCUCCCUACUUCUUCCCAUAGAAUAAGUAAAUAAGGAUUGGAUCAAACUGCUUCUGGCCUUCUAUCUACCGCCUACAAAUUAGUUUAACCCCUGACAGCUUUAGCAUAGCUACAGCAACUUUAGCUGAUCAAAUACAAGCCUCGGUUUACUCACAAUACCAAGUAGCUACAACAUAUAUAUAAAAUGUCUAUCUGUAGUUCAGUCUACCAAAGUGUACAAAAUAACUGUAUAGAUUUAAUUUUUAAAUUCCUCCUUAAUGAAAUAAGGAGUAACUUAAAAAGCUGGAGAAAUAUUCAGUGCUCAUGUCUGUGCCAUGCCAAUAUAAUAAAAAUGAUAGUAGUACCAAAAUUAUUUUAUAAUUUUAAUGCUAUACCAAUCAUUAAUGGGACACAUUACAAAGCUCAAUUAAAUAAUAACAUUCAUUUGGAAAAAUAAAACAUCUAGAAGAUCAAAGAAAAUAAUGAAGAGAUAGAGAAAAGGGGGAUAGCCCUUUCAACAUUUCAUAUUAUGCAAAAAGUAAUCAUCAUUAAAACUCUGGUAUUGUCUUAAAAAUAGAGCCAGAUCAAUGGACAAGACUAGACAAUGGUGAAUCUGAACCAAUGAAACUCAGUAUUCAGUAAAGUUCAAAAUACAAAUUUCUUAGGAAAAAAACUUAAGAAAAUUGGAAAGCGGUCUGCAGAAAUUGAUCUUAGUAAUUCUUUACAUAAAAUUGCAGAAUACAUUCUAAAUAGGUAUGAAACUUUAAUAUUAAAACUCAUACUGUAAAAAUAUUAGAAGAGAAGCAGAGCAUAUAUUUCACAGUGAUGGUUAGGUGAUAUCUUCUUAACUAAAAAAAAAGAUAGAGGCAAUUAUAAAAGAUAAAAUAGAAAACUUUGAUAAUGUGGAACUGAAAAGCUUUUUUUUUCUUUUUUUUCUGAAAAGCUUUAAAAAUUAAUGCAGUUAGGAUAAGAAGGGAAGAAAAUAAAUGGGGAAAUGGUGGGAAAUUACAUCAAAUUUCUCUGAUAAGGAUUUGGCAUCCAUGAUAUGUUAACAACAAAUUGAGCCUAAAAGCCAUUCCACAAUAAGGAUGGACAAAGUAUACAGUUUCCAAAAGGACAAUUCUAAACUCUUAAUAGCUAUAAGAAAAAAUGUUCCAAAUCUCUAAUAAGAGAAAUGCAAAUCAAAAUAAUAUUGGUUUCAUCUUGCCCCCUACAAAUUGGCAAAUAUGAGAAAAAAGGUGAAAAUAGUCAAUACUGGAGAGAUUGUGGGGAAAUGAGCAUAUUAGUACAUUGUUAAUGGAGUUGAGAAUAAGUACAUCCAUUUUAGAGAGCAAUUUGGAAUUAUGCAAAUAGAAGUCUAAAAUGUCCAUACUCUUUGCUCUUUGAUUGAGAUUUCAUUACUAAGUUUUUACCAUUAUAAGGCCAUUGAUAUGAAGGAAGUAUCUGUUUGCCAAAAUUUUUAUAGAAAUACUUUUUCUGAUAGUGAAGAAUUAGGAACAAAGUAGGUACCUGUGGAUUAAUGAAUGGCUAAACAAAUUAUGGUACAUAAAUGUAAAGGAAUAUCACUAGCUGUAAGGAAAUAAUGACAAUACAAUGAAUAAAGAGAAUCACAAAAAAGACUUGACCUGAUGAAAAUUGAAAUAAGCAGAGGCAAGAAAACAAAAUACACAGUGAUUAAACAAUGUAAAUGAAAAGCUCAAUUAUUAAUAAAAAUGAACAGUUACUGUGGCAAAAUUACAAAUAACAAACAUGACUUGGAAGAAGAGAUAUGAGAAAAGACUCCCACCCCUCUUCUUUGUACAGAUGGGAAGUCCACAGAUGUAUAUCAUAAACAUUUUCAGACUGUUUCACAGGAUUGACUGGUUAUACUGAAUUUUUCCUUAUUAUAUGAUAUAGCUGUCUGGAUUUGGCAAGAGGGGGAACACAGGGAGAAAUUACGUUGAUGUAAAAAAGACUGAAAAAAAUAAAGACUGAUUGAGGAUUGCAAAUUGAGGAUGCAAAACUUCUAUGAUUAUUCCUUGCCUUUUUAUGAAACAAAGAAUCACACAGCUCAAAAGGCUAGGCCAACCUGAGGGGGAAAAAUGGAGUUUCCCUCUAGCAGAGUUUAGUAAAAGAGGUGCUUUUGAGACUAAACUUCUCAGAACAUGUAACAUAAGAUUUCUGCUCAUGAAGUUGAUUUGUCCAGAUGGCACUUUGUUUUGAGAAACUUUGCUAUAGAAGCAGAAAUGAUACAGGAGAUGCAGAAAUAAAUUUAUCGUGCCAUAAUAAGGCAUUUCUCUACCAUUCAGGCAAGGUAGAUUGUUAUUCCCUAGCUAGCUUGGAACCAUGAAGGGGAAGUCUUGCUUCUUUCCCAAAAGUACAUCACCAAACCCCAACUUAUGGCGAACAACUUUAUGACUGGGCAACUUCACAAUGCUUCGUGAAGCAUCAAGAAUGCUGGGUGAUGGCUAGGGACAAUUAAAUCUAGAAAAUUAAAUUGCACCCAUAUGACAUUUCUUUUGCUGGUAGAAACUCUUGAGCUUAGCUCCUGGUUAAUGAGACUAACCAACUAAAAUAGAAAACUACCCGAUGAUGAGUUUCCAUCUGUAGUCAUAUGUAGUAUACACCAGGUGAGCUCCUCUCUGGCCUAGUGUGACCCUGCCUCCCUCCUCUGGCUAGCAUCUCCAUAGCCCACUCCUUAUGAAGUCUCAGAAUCAUUGUCUCCUUGCCAAGGGGCAAUGUCCCCCAGUCUCCAGCCCUACGAGGCCUUUUGUCUUCAAAUCCCUUCCUUGUGGAAUGUAAGACUUGAUCUUUCAUUUCAGGCUCAGCAAGCAUUAAUCAUACAAUCUAAAUGCUGCAAGGAAUCUCAGAGGGCCUAUAGUCCAAUUUCUCACCCUAUAUAGGAAUCCUUUUUACAACAUUCCUGACAGCCCUCCAGCUUUCAGGACAGAGCCCAAACCCAGGCCUUAGCACAGUCACUGCAAAUAGUAGGCACAUAAUAAAUGUCUAUUGACACCCUGACUGAUUGUUUGAAUACCUUCACUGAUAAGGUAGUCUGCUAAAAGUUAUAGUGAUGGGAAGAACAAUACAGCAAUAUCAAGCUAAUUAAGCUUUAAAUUACACUGAGACUUUUGGGACACCAAUACUAUAAGGGGGGGUUCUAUACUAUUAUUCAAUUGUUUUAUCAGUCAGAAAUUGAUCCCCCGAACUCAUGAGAAAUUUUCCUCUUUGAAACUUCUCCCAGUGCUUCCAGUUCAAUUUCCUCAAAUUAUAAGAAAUCUCAACUUUCCUCCUCAUGUUGGCCCUUCAAAUAUCUGAAUAUGGCUAAGACCUUUGCCCUGAGUUUUCUCUUCUCCAAAUUCAAUAGCCUUAAUUCCUCUAACUACUCUUCAGACAAGGGUCCCAGACACACUAACUCCAGUGGACACACUUUUGUCUGUGUCUCUCUUAACAUUUGAUAGAAACAGAGAAGAAAACAUAUGAUUUAUCCCUUGUUUAUUUGGGUAUAUGGUUUGGGGUUUUGGUUUUAAAAUUACUCCAUUACAAAAAUGAACAAUAUGGAAAUAGGUUUGGAGUGAUAAUCCAUGUAUAACCCAGUGGAAUUGCUUGGGAGGGGGGAGGGAAAAAGGGAGGGAGACAAAAUGAAUCAUGUAACAUUGGAAAACUUAUGUGUAGAUUUGUUACUGGAAUAAAAUAAGGGAAAAAAAUUUAAAUGUGACCUUCAGAACUGAAAGCUAUUCCAGUUGUGGGCUGUCUGAUUUGGAUUGCUAGGAAACCUCUACCUAUCUACUUUUACUAAUACCACAGACAGAAGAAACAAGGCACCAGGCCUUCUGAUUGCCCCUUAGAAUUGUCAUUGGACAAUUGGAAUUGUCAUUCCAAAGUAGCUUAAGAGCCUACUAUGUACAAAGCAUCCUAAGCCUGCUUGAGAAGCAAGGGAGCUUAAAGAGGCAGUAAGGUCAGAAAGGGAUGACUUUUAGUCUCACUCUUAGAUGUCUUGAGUUAUUGGAGACAUAUUCCUAGGAGCUGCUGAGGUAGAUCAUAGAGUUACAGAUUCACAACUGAAAGGGAUCUUAGAACUUAUCAAAUGCAACUCCCUCAUUUUUCAGAUGAGGAAACCGAGGCUCCCAGAGUUUAUUGUCUUGCCCAGAGUCAUGCAGCUAGUAAGAAUCUUGGGCAGAUUUCAAGCCCAGGUCUUCUUGACACCAUUUCUGCGUUCUACUACCAUGUCUUAUUGCUUCACCAUAGUGCCUUGGCAUCACUAACUUUUUAUAACUGUAGCCAAGACUGUUAUAGCCCACCCUGCCUGAGGUCUUUCCAGAUAACAAGAUCAUUCUCUCCUGAUUCUCUUUUGGUAAGUUACCUCUAUUACCUUCUGGUUCUAACUUUAAUCUUUCCUUGCCACUGCCACAAGAAUCCAAGACUUCUGGGAUCCAGUAUCUUUUCUCCUCCUGCAUGCCUUCACCAUCCCUUCUCCCAUCCCCUCAUUGGUGCCCUCAUUCCAAUCAGUAUUUCUCCUUCCCUGGUAACAUCAUGAUCUUCCUGUUUUUGUCCCAUGCCUGGGAAUUUCUGUUGCCUUGAGCUGUCUGGUACCCUAGAUGCCUGGCAAGAGCUGAUGGAAGUGGCUGAAAUUGUUUCUCUAAGAUCUUCUCAGGUCAAAGGGACAAAAGAGAGGACUGGAAGGAUAGCAAGUCUUGGGUGAGCUUGACACUAAAUCAUAAGACCAUAAAUUUAGAGCUGGAAGGUCCUCAUUCUACAAAGGAGAAAACUGAGCCCCAGGAAAACUGAGUGACUUGCCCAAGGUCAUCAAGUAGUAGUAAGUAGCAGAGGUGGAAUAUUAAAUCAAGUCCUCCGACUAGAAAUCCAGUUGUCUUUUUCCACUGUGCCAUAUUUUCUGUUUGUGUAGUGUCAGAGGCAAGAUUUCAGUAGAAGUCCUCUGCCUCUAUAUUCUCUCUCUAUGGAGAAAAGAGAGGACUAUCUGAUGGCACAGGUAAUUAUGGUGAGAUCAUUCUGUCCAGUUACUAGAGAAUACAUUGAUCUUGCUAUAUCUAUUUAGUUUUCAUUUACUGAUUUUAACAGCAUCCCUUGGGAAUGUAGGCAGAGGAGCCCAAGCAAGGCUACUGUGUAGUGGAGAAAUGGUUGAUUCUUUCUCUGAAGAUGAGAAAAGAUGUUUAAUCUCUAUUGACUACUGGGUAGUCUAUCAAUAACGGGGAGACAAAGUGAGUCCACUUGAGAACAUACAUUCACAACUAAAGAUCUAUUUUGUUUGGUUGUGGAAGUCAUGUGGUUAGGGCAUAGAGAGCCACACUUGGGGAAAUGGGUAAGCUAAUGGGGCAGAGAUAGUCCUUAGUCAACAUAACAUAGGUAGGGAUUUUACCAUUAGGGUCUGAACCACUUGAAAAGAUCCUGUAUGGGGAAGUAGUCAGAAAAGAGAAAGAGAUAGAAGAAUGAGAGAGAAAUUUCUAAAUGGUAAUACCAAGUAUAGAGACUCUCAGAGGAAGAGUGAGGCAGCUAAUGGUGAAAGCCUGUGGUGAACAUGAAUCAGCUUUGGAACCAGGUAGGAAAAUGUCUUUCCUCAUGGAUAGUCUUGGAGGAAAAAAAAAUUGAUAUUUUCUUACCCAUGAUCCAUGACUCUCAGAAGAGUGAGAAAUCUCAGGCCCAAUAAAUUGUGAGGUAGGGGGCUAAUAGGAGAAAACAUGUCCAAAUCCCAAUCCCUAUACCCAAUAGCUGAGAAAUAGGAAAGAAUAUCUUUGAAGGUUAAGAUAGAAUAGUCUUGGCAGGAUAAACUCAUAGCAGGGGAGUAAGAACUAAGUUUGUAUCAAGACCAAGUCAAGGCACAAGGAUAUUAGCAGAUUGAAGCCCAAACAGAGCAAGUCAAGUGUUCUCUGGCUGGUUCUAAGCAUCUGGAUUACACCAUAGGAAUUUUUGCAAUUUGUGUUAAGUUAACCUUUUCAUCUGUAUGCCAACUCCAUUGUAUGUUUACUUAUACUGCAUUGCAAAUAACUUAAUUUUUACAAUAUCAAAAAUGCUGAUAGGUUGUCAUUAGAGAAAAGGUGAAAUGUUGGGUAGGAGGGAGAGAAAACUCCUCUGGUCUGAAGGAGUCCUGGGACUCGGGGGAAAUCCAGAAAGGUCCAGGGAGAGGUGAUGGUGAUAACCCAGGCACUAGAUGGUACAGUGGAGCUGAGUAGAAAGCUGGGGUGGGGUCAUGGAGUACUGGCAAUGGUUUCUUGCUCUCAGCCUCAGGCUAAGUGGCCCAACAGAACCCUAGGUGCUGAGUGCCUGAAUGUAGAAUCUUUGUCUUUUAAUACAUAUACACAUGUGUAUAUUACCAAAAGGCAGCAAAGGAAAGGGACAGAAUCUUGAAUUCAGAGUCAGAGGACAUGGAUUUAAACCCCAUUUGGGCUGUUUUCUACCUCUGUGACAGUGAACAGGUCAGUUCCCUUCUCUUGGGCUCUGUGUUAGUAUCUGCAAAGUAAGAGGAAGAAUUCAAAAAUCUAGCUGGGCCCAUCCGGUUCUAAAUUCUAGAAUCCCAAAGUUAAAGUACAACUGAUUACAAUCUGUUGUACUGUUGACUGGAGAAUUAACCAAAAGAGGAAAAUAUAUAGUGGGAAUGAUUAGGAGAUCCCUACUCAAUUGAUUUAUAAAAUAAAAGGAGCAGAUAAUAGAGACAAACAGAUGUUAACAUCUGAAAUGGAGUUUAAAUAUCUGAUUAUUCUUUGCUACUCUCACAAGUUGUGAAACUCUUCAGUUGAAUUUGAUGGAAUUGGAGGAUGCCUAGUCAUUGACUGGCUUAAAAACCAGCCAAGGCCUUGGGGAUUUUUUAAAAAGAAAAACAUAAUCUCUUUAAAAUAAUUUAUAACAAAUGUUAUAGCACAUACUCUGUGCCCUGGCACUGUGCUUUAUAAUUAUUAUCUCAUGAGAUCCUCACAAAAAUCCUGGGAGGUGAAGAAAUGGAGGCAGACAGAGGUUAAGUGACUUACUUGCCCAGCAAGUAAAUGUCUAAGCAAAGGCAUUUACUGAGUUGGCAAAGUAAAAGCUAAUAAAAGCAAAACAUUUCUCCCCCAAAUCCUUGGGUAUUUGAACUUGGGUCUUCCUGACUCCAGGCCCAGGGCUCUAUCCGCUGUCUACCUUGCUGCCUCAUUCUAGGUAGUGAGUCAAGAAUCAAGAACCGUUCUUAUGAAGGUGAACUAAGAAGCUCUUAAGAAUUGUUGCUCUUUGUCUCUUGACGAAGUAGGGGAAAGGAAUUUCCUUCUUUCCCACAACCCCCCCCCCCCACUGCCAUUAUUAUGGCAUCUUGAAAUGAAAUUACUUGCUCAGUUGGAGCCACUAGGGUCAGCAGGAAAUAGACCCAGGAAGUCCAAUGGAGGUACUGUUCCCUUUGAGAUGGCAAAGGACACAGGCUACAGUGUUGGAUGUGUAAAUUGCCUGGGUCAUGUGUGUUCACCAUGUUUGCUUUAAAUAUGCUGUAUGCGUGUGCCCAUUCUUCUCACUGAUGUUUGUACUUGUGGGAAAGUGUGCCCCAGGUUUAUGGGGGCACAUUUGUUACUAGUCUUUACUUUGUCAUCUUAAUAAAUGACUUUGCUUGAACUAAUGGUGGCCUCUGGCUGUUUAAUAAGGGUAAAAUGCAUUGGUGGGGGCCCAAGAACUACAGUUAUGGGAGUUGUAGACCCACAAAGAACUGUGAGUCUGGGGCAGACACCUCCUGGGGGACCCAAUGUGGGAUUUUGAACUGGAGGAGUAGUCCUAGACUAAACACUACUAAGAAAAUCUAAAACAUGUUUAAUUGUAUAACAGUAAAACUAUAUUUGUUAUGUGCCUGUACAAUGUAACAAAAAGUAUAUAUACAUAUAUGUAUCUAUAUAUUUUCAUUUCAAA
This is a long non-coding RNA of Monodelphis domestica (gray short-tailed opossum), 15267 nucleotides long. RefSeq lists it as uncharacterized. Lineage: Eukaryota; Metazoa; Chordata; Mammalia; Didelphimorphia; Didelphidae. The record is from RefSeq and is a predicted model, not a curated record.